UGAUCCCAGCUACAAAGCUCGCCCGCGGGUGAUGAAAGGGUUAGCUGAGCCUCGGCGGAGAAAGAACAGUGAGUUAGUUUUCCUGCCUCUUGUUCUUAAGGAGAAGUGCUGGUUUCGGGAAUCAGGGUGAGGCCUACAUUCUCCAGUGCGUAUUUACGCAGAUCUCUGGUUAGUUAAUCGCAGGUCUGUUAUUUCCCAGAGUUCCAGGCCUCCGGCCCAUGAAUAGAUUACUUCUUACUGGUGUGUGUUUGGUGAAGAGAGUUUGUAGAGUUCUUGCAAUUCUGAGUCGGAUCCCAAUGAGAGGGAGUGUCAUGGCCUCUCUGUGUCCCUCUGGGAGGGACACUGGGUGUGGACUCACCGCUUCAGGUGACCACGCAUCAGCGUGGUACCUAUGGGAAGGGCCUUUACCUGUUGGCCUGGACCUCAAGCCCCUCCUGCCCCUUCCUGUUCACCCCUUGUACCGAGUUGGUAUCUCCAACGCCGACACCUCCCGUUAGGCAGAGACUGGGUUUAAUAAAAUGCCUUCACAGUCACCCAUUUUGGUCACAGCAGAAAGCAAAUGCAGGGGAAGAGUGUCUGACCCAAGCUAACCCUGUUACUGAUGUAGAAAAUCCGCUCUAAGGCAGAAAUAGAAAAUAGGUAAGAAACAACUUGGAUAAUGAUUUCCAAAACUGGAAAGAGCUGUCAGGCACUCUGUCACAUAGCCUGAAAUAACAAAGAUGCCGUGGCCAGCUGGACUCCCCAAGGAGCAGGUGACACACCUGGCAACAGACCUUCCAUAUGGACCAUCGGCCAGUCUGUGGUCAGAGAUGAACAGCCAGUGAUCCUCUAGCCAGGGAUCGAGUGGGGUCAAAGUGGGGGUUUAGGAAACGACGUAUUUUUGGGAAAUAGAAGUUCCUCCCUCCCCUUUCCACCAUCACAUCUGUGGGUGGCGAUGACUUCAGGGCACUAAGACCAUUCACUUACAUAUCCAUCAAUGAAUCGAGUUGAGUCCUUGCCAUUUUGUCUUAAAAGUCUUAAAAGGCAGCGAGCUGGCCGAUGACCAAACCAAUCAGACUGGGUUUCCGUGGCUUCUCAAUCAGCCUUACUGAGGCGUACAGAAGUAUACUAAGCUGCACAGUAAGUUUUGACAUGUGUGGUGAACACGCACACCUGUAAAACACCCCCACGAUCGAGGUGAGAACAGAGCCGUCACCUCAGAACCUUUCCCAGUUCCUCUGAGCCGAGCGUCGCGGCCCUACCUCACCCUGUUCUGGGCACAAUCACCGACCCACUUCCUGGCGCUACAGAGCACCUCGCCGUCUCCGGACUCUCGCUCAACAGGAAUUGGACAGAACGUGCUUUUUUGUCUUGCACGAGGCGUACUCACUCGCAGACUCCCCUGCAGCGGGCCGCAUCAGGGGCACACUCUCUUUCCUUCCUUGGUCGGUAGUGUUCCGUGUGUCGGGUGGGUAAGCGCCCGCGCGCUGCUGGCCUUCGGCUCUUUUCCAGUUGUUACCGACAGAGCGGCUGCGAGCGUGCGUGUGUAAGCUGUCGUGGGCACAUAAGCUCUAAUUUCUCUGGCGGAAAUACCGAGCACGGAACAUCGGACUGUACCGUAGGUAUUUGACUUUUUAAGAAACUGACAAACUUUUUCAAAGCGAAUUACCAUUUUGUGUUUCCACCAGAGUGUCAGGGGGUUUCAGGACAUCUCAGCCGCACUUGCCACGGUUGGUCUUUUUUAUUUUAGCCGUCCUAGCCGGUCUGCUGUGGGAUUCCCUUGUGACGUGAAUUUGCAUUUUUCUAAUAACUAAUUAUGACCAAAUUUUAACGUACUUACUGCCAUCCAAAUAUUUUUGGUGAAAUGUCCAUUUUUAAAAAAAAUUUUAUUUAUUUAUUUGACAGAGAUCACAGGCAGGGAGAAAGGCAGGCACAGAGAGUGGAAGGGAAGCAGGUUCCUUGCUGAGCAAAGAGCCGGAUGCGGGGCUCAAUCCCAGGACCCUGGGAUCAUGACCUGAGCCGAAGGCAGAGAGGCUUUAACCCACUGAGCCACCCAGGUGCCCCGAAAUGUCCAUUUUUAUUUCAUGAUCUUUUGUCUUUUACUUGGGCUCUUUGCUUUUCCAAUUAUUGACUUAUUUUCUGAGUUUUAAGAGUUCUUUAAAUCUUCUGGACACAAGUCCUGGGUCAGGUUGUGAUUUGCAAGUAUUUAUUCCAGACUGUGACUUGGUUUUUCAUUCUAUUAAACAAUCAAGCUCUGCGCGUUCUCUUCUUAAUUUUGAAGUAAAGUUUAUUAUAAUUUUUAUUAUUUUUAAUGAGUCUGCUCUUCAAAUUAUAUUUGCCUAACCCCAGAUCACAAAUAUUUUCUUCCAGAAGUUUUAUAGAUUUAUAUUUUACAUUUAGAACUGUGAUCCACUUUGAAUUCACUCCCACAUAUUUCAUAUUUUACAUCCUAUUAUAAAUGGACUUUUACAGUUUCCAUUUCUGAGAGUUUAAAUAUUUGCUUUUUCAAUAUUUAUCUUUUGUCCCACAACUUUGCUUAAUUAAACUACUAGUUUCAGUGUUUUUUGGUAGAUUCACUAGAAUUUUUCACAUAGACGAUCACGUUGUCUGUAAACAUAGCAAGUCGACUUCCAAUCUGGGCCCUGUUUCCGUCUUUUCUUGUCUUACUGACUGUCUAGCGACCACCGCGGUAUUGACUAGAAAUGGCGGCAGAGGACCCUGAUGCAAACAAUUCAGUCUUUGACCGUUGAGUGUGAUGUUCGCUAUAGCUUUUUAUAGAUGCUUUUCGUCGAGAUGAGGGUCUAUCUGUAAUUUUCUGAGUUUUUUUCAUUAGAAAUAGAUAUUGGGUUUUGGCAAAUGGUUUUUCUGCAUCUGUUGAAACGAACAUAUUUUUUUCUUUUUCCACUCAUUAAUAUGUGAGUCACCUUGAUUGAUUUUCGAAUGUUAAGUGUCAUGGUGUAUUGUUUUGCUAAUAGAGGAGCGUCUAUGAGCGUAUUUUCUUUUCCUGGGCUGUCUUUAUCUGGUUUGACACCCGAGAAGUUCUGGCCCAACAGGACAAGUUAAGUGCUUCCUCCUCCUCCGUUUAAGGGGAAGAGUUUUGUGGAAUUGUGUUAUUUAUUCCUUAAAUGACGGACGAAAUUCAUCCGGAAUGCCAUGCAGACCUGGAACUUUCUUUGUGGGAAGGUACGAAUUCAGCUUCUCUCGCAGACUAACGGGUGUUUGGGUUACCUGUUUCUUCACGAUGGGGUUUGUGCGGACACUUGCAGCUCGCCCAGGUUGUUGACUGCACCGGCAUCAAGUUACUGGUGAUAGUCAGUGUAUUCGUAGAGCUGCCGUGAUGACAUCUCUCUCGUUCUCAGUAAUGAUAAUCCGUGUCUUCUCUCUUUUUGUCUGCAUCAUUCUGGCUAGAGAUUCGACAGGUGUAUUGAUCUCAAAUAACCAGCUUUUGGUUUCAUGUUAUUUCUCUAUUAUUUUUCUGUUUUCUAUUUUAUCAUUAUCCAAUCUCAUUUUUAUAUUUUUUCUUCUGUUUACACCGCAUUUCAUUUUCUUUUCUUUAUCGAGUUUCUUAAGAUAGAAGCUGAGGUCAUCGAUUUGAAACCCUAUCUCUUUUCUAAAACAAAUCUUCUUCAAUUUACAAUGGGGUUUUGCCCCGAUAAACCCAGCAUACACUGGAGAUACCAUAAGUUAAAAAUGCUCGUAAUACACCUAAGCUACUGGCCCUCGUAGCUGUAGCUGAGUCUGGCCCUCCGUCGUCUCUUUGUGAGGACCCCCGGAGGACCUGGGGGCCGGGUCUGCACAGGCCGCUGCUCGGCCGGCUCCUUCUCCGGGGGGGGGGGGGCACAAGGUGGUCUCGCCGCACCCAGCCGUCUCACCUGUCUGUCCCGAGUGACCUUGGCGAUCCCAGGGCGACCUCACUUCCCUCCUGUCCCUCCUCUGUUGUCUGAUUCCCAGUUGUCGCAGGCAGGGCGCACUCAAGUCUCUGACGCUAUCUUGUCCAGGACAGAAGUCCCCAGGCAUAUUUUAAUGAAGGGUUUUUAAAAAAAUCAUGUUUUGCGACCCACUGGUUUAGUGGUCUUUUGUUUUCACAGAUGCUAUUUAUUUAUUUGUUUAUUUAUGGAGCCUGCGAGGGUUGGGGGGGAGGCGGAGAGAGAGGGAGAGAGGCCCCCAGCAGACCGUCCACGGAGCGUGGAGCCCAGCGCAGGACUCGAUCCCACGACCCUGAGACCACAACCCAAGCGGAAAUAGAGUUGGAUGCCCCGGCGGACUCAGCCACCCCUAGUGGCACCCCUGCUGGUUUUGUGAGUGUGGACCGCAUCACCAUGUAAAGUGUACUUAUUACUGUGGACUGUGGUCAGAACGUUUGGAGAACACUCCUUCCCGAGGUGGAUGAAGGUGAGCAGCCCUCAUUAAGGUGAAAGUCCUUUCAUGGAUAAGUCGUCUGGGCUCUUCCUUGAGGGGGACCAACUGGUUCUAGUUUUUCAGAGAUGUUCCCAGUUUUAAAAUCAAAAGUCCUAGGUCCCAGACCCCGUCAGCCCGGGGCAUCCCCAGAUGGUUACUGCCUCCUUGGGGUCCCUUUGCAGCCUGUGACUUACAAGGGGUUUUGUGCCAAGUGUUCCCACAGAAGUUGUUUUGUGGAAUGUCACAGAAACAGCGUGUGUCCAGGUAAGGUUGCCUGUUCCAGCCCGGUCAGCUCCUUCGUCGGAAACAUACAGUGUCGGGCUCGCCUGAGACCCAGGCCUGGUGCUGGUGCGUGUGCAGCAGGCCGGGCCGGGAGGAGGUGCGUGCGGAAGGGAGAGGGACCUUGGGCCCAACAGAUACACUGACCUCCUCCAUGAAGAGAGAUCUUGGACAAGCCCCUUCUCCCCAGAACUGCCACAUUAGCAGCUGGGACAGGGGAGCCUCCUGGAGGCUGAGGACCACGGUGAGGGCGCGGGUGCUGCCAGGCAGACAGGGCUGCUGUGCCCAAGACAGUCGGGUGGGGUCACCUCCGGGACCUGCAGACCCUGGGAGGAAGCAUCGCAGAGCCUGCCUGUCUUGCCUCGGUCACCCCGACGCACUGCCCUCUCUUGUCACGGCCCAGAGCUGCGCAGAGACUGUGCCUCGCAGGGACGUGUGCCGCCUUACACAGACCCGGCACAGGUGUGCUGCAGGUGGGGACGUGCUGUUUGGGUCACUGGCCAGCCUGGCCUGCCCUGACCUCAGGGUUCUGGCUACACCAGCCCCAGCCUCUCGUCAUCCUGCGGGUCACGUUGCCCGUGUGAGCGGCAGGGACGGUGCAGCCGCCAAGGCUGGCAACAUCCUCGUGCCCAGCGGCUCCUCGGGCAGGCCUCGGGCUGCGAUGGCGGCGGAGCCCCCACUCCCAGCCUGGCCCCCUGAGCACGCACCUCCGGCUGGGACCGUCCUUCAGGGCCGGACGGAGCUCGGAAAGGGAAAGUGCGAGGCAGGCGGCGUGCAGUGGCGCCCCUCAUCUAGAAGACGAGCGUUUGGUGUUGGAGGUGCGCGUCAGUGCAUUGUAAUAGGAAAGCUGGUGUUUUUAGAGCUUCUAGAACGAUAAUUUUUUCAGAAGAAUUUCUCCCCGCUGCUGAUAUAAAUAUUUUUGGAGAAGUGCAGAAGUUGGUGUAAUGACCGGAAACGUGGCAUGAUUUUGUGGGGUUUCUGCUGCUCUUUCCGGCAGAGACCGUCCGACAGCAUGACCGUUUAUACAGCUUCCUCGCCCGGCUUCUGCCCUGCCCUACACACUACGCGUGUGCUUCCCGUGUUUUUAUCGUGACAAAGAUACACAUUUGCAAAGCCCCGUCGAAAAUGUUCAUCUUUUUAUACCCAGUUAGCGUCUGCAACAAUUACGUUAGCAAGUAACUUUUUUUUUUUUAAAGAUUUUAUUUAUUUAUUUGAGAGAGACAGUGGGAGCGAGCACGAGAGGUGAGAAGGUCAGAGGGAGAAGCAGACUCCCCACGGAGCUGGGAGCCCGAUGCGGGACUCGAUCCUAGGACUCCGGGACCGUGACCUGAGCCGAAGGCAGUUGCCCAACCAACUGAGCCACCCAGGCGCCCUGUUAGCAAGUAACUUAGCAGAUGCUGGGCUACAGCGUGGCGGCCCCUCAGCCCCGGGAGUGGUUGGGUCCCCAGCAGAGAAGUGACGGCUUCCAUUCGCGCACAUCUCCACAUUCCCCAAGACGGACGGAUCCUGCUGUUGGCCGUGGCUCCGUGGACAGGAGGCAGGAGGAUGUGGGAUUCUCCCCAGCGGACGGAUGAGAGACCGGGGCCCGGGGCCACACACACGCACUUCCCUGUGUCAUUAGCAACCCGGAGCUCCGGGGCACACUGACUUCUUGACCUCCAGCGACCCUGCUCUUUGUGCGGUGACCGGGACAGCUUUCUGCCGUGUGUGUUGUUUUACCUCAUGGUCCCGUGAUGCACGGCCAGACUCCUUCUGCCUCGUCAAAGGCCUGUGUGCCGGUGGGCAGGUGGGACCAGGUCCUGUGUCUGGGGGACCCGCCUCUCCCCAGCUCAGUGUCUCGUGCUGUGAAAGGGGCCAACGGUGCUGUGCUGGGAAUGGCAACAGUGAGUGCAGACGGAGCCCGUGGCGGAGGGCCUGGGUUCCGCACUCACCACGCCACCCGUUCCGGUGACCGUGAGAGCCGUCCCUGUGACCCCUGACCCUGUCACAGCUGAAGGGGACACGGCCAGUGAGUCAGAGUCGGGCAGAGCUGCCCAGCCCUGAGUGGCCAGAGGACAGAGCUGGGGGGCACUGGGGGCCGCACCGCAGAGUCAGCUAACGACGUCCAGGGACUUCGGGCCCCAGUGCCAGGCCCAUCUGUGACCUUUGAGCUGCUCAGUACGUGUGAGGACAGCAGAGGCCGGAGCCCGGGAGCGAACGCCAGCCUCCCCUCCUCCGGGCGCGGCCACUGCCCUCCUGCAGGUUGAUCAAGGCUGUGGAGAUGCGGUCGGGGGUCCUGAGAGAGACGCGCGGCUGCGACUUCCCACACCCGCUCACGCACCUUCUCGUGUUCUGCGCCCCCGUGUGCUUGUUUUCAUGUCUUGUUUUCAAUUUCUUUCCAGAGGCUCAUUUUGAAAAUAUUAUGGAUUUCCACUCCAUUAAAUCUGAUAAAGUUAAAUGAUAAAAAAUUUUCUUUUUGGUAUAAGUAAAACAUUUAAACUUAACCUCCUUUUAAGUCAUUCAGUAUCUUCUCAAAUACUUCAGUGUCUCAGAAAAAUGACUGAAAACGUGCAUCACGGUGUCCAUACGGGUGCACGCUUUUCCUUUGGUCUCAGGUCCCAGUAUGGCCUGGCCGGCACUGGUCAGGGCUGGGUGUCGGGGCCCCAGGGUGGGGAGUGUCCGGUGGACCCCCCCUGCAGUGAAAAGUCACCACCAUCGUAGCGAUGGUGGUGAUAAUGUUGUCUGCUAAGGAUGGCGGAUGUUUUCUCAGCGCUCCGUAAGGAAUCGUGAUGGACAGUCCUAAGGACGCUUUGCUCCUGUAUUUAUCUGACCAGGACGGAGUGGGCCGCGUGCUCCAGGCUGACCGCGCACGGCUGUGGCCUCCCCUGCAGACCUUCACCCUCCCUCCCAGGUGCUCAGGACUCUGUCGUCAGAGCAGGUCUGGGGUGGGGACGUGGGGGCUCUUGACUCACCCUGGGUCCCAGGCCCUGAGCAGCCGCAGGGAGGAGUGGCAGAGGGCUGGUCCCCGGGGUUCUGACCUCUCUAGACUUGGCCCUAAGCCCACCCAGCGGUGGGGGAGGUGGGGCAUCUUUGACGGCAAGGCACAGGGUCCUUCCUCUGGGCCGUGGGGACCCCCGGGCAGCCCCUAAGCCUCUCCCUUAGGCUUGUGGCCUCUGCCCAGGUGCACAGUGCAGAGGCCUUGCCAGGGAAGCUGCUGUGGGGUCACUUGAGGUCAGGUCUGCCCACCGGGCUGCGAACUCUGGGCCACAUCCUGGGUGAGACUGUGUCUGAGGCUUCCCUAACCUGGUCCUGAGAUCGGUCCAAAUGCAGCAGAAGGCGGUGAAUGGGGUCCCACUGCCUGGCUGACACUCGCAGGGCGCCCGGGACAAAGGCCACACCCCUGUUCUAAGGCCUGCAGGUGCUGCCCUGAGUCUCCUGUCUGCUGAUAGUCCUGGAGUCCCCAGGUCGCCCAGGCCAAGCCUCACAGGGGAUUGCCGGCCAAGGAAACGCUUCUGUCCAGCCUCGCUUAUCUGAUCUCAGCAGCGGGUCCCACGAUAACAAGUCGCUUCCCCUGUCAAACAGGCAGCCUUUCCCUCAAGGUCGUUUGAAGUGCAUGGUGUCCUCCUGCGUUCCCUCCGGGGCUGGCCCCCAGGACCGCAGCCUGAAGAGUGACCGGCCUCUAGCACAUCAGGGAGGAGAG
Long non-coding RNA from Mustela lutreola (European mink), 8335 nucleotides. RefSeq lists it as uncharacterized. NCBI's taxonomy places the organism in Eukaryota, Metazoa, Chordata, Mammalia, Carnivora, Mustelidae. The record is from RefSeq and is a predicted model, not a curated record. The transcript is spliced from 3 exons.